GGAGAGGUGGGUGAGUGGCUGAAACCAGUAGUUUGCUAAACUGCCGAGCUGGGCAACUGGCUCCACGGGUUCGAAUCCCGUCCUCUCCGCCA
RNAcentral lists this transfer RNA (92 nucleotides) under Alistipes indistinctus. RNAcentral's name for it is "tRNA-Ser". It matches the Rfam family "tRNA". From Rfam's summary of the family: Transfer RNA (tRNA) molecules are approximately 80 nucleotides in length. Their secondary structure includes four short double-helical elements and three loops (D, anti-codon, and T loops). Further hydrogen bonds mediate the characteristic L-shaped molecular structure. tRNAs have two regions of fundamental functional importance: the anti-codon, which is responsible for specific mRNA codon recognition, and the 3' end, to which the tRNAs corresponding amino acid is attached (by aminoacyl-tRNA synthetases). tRNAs cope with the degeneracy of the genetic code in two manners: having more than one tRNA (with a specific anti-codon) for a particular amino acid; and 'wobble' base-pairing, i.e. permitting non-standard base-pairing at the 3rd anti-codon position. The record is from RNAcentral. RNAcentral also lists the same sequence under 4 other names. Lineage: Bacteria; Pseudomonadati; Bacteroidota; Bacteroidia; Bacteroidales; Rikenellaceae.